GGUCAGGCAGCAUUCAUGGAGAGAGGAAACAUCUGUGUACUCAAUCAACGCAUGGAUCAUUUUACGUUAAAGAAAGUUGCGUUUCUACAUACAGUAAAUGAGGAAAGGAGGAACAACAUUACGUUCAGUAAUCCAGUGUUUGUAUCUAUUUUAUUAAAGAUGAAUAGCUGUAAUAUCUCAGUCUUUGUUUUAAGUGAUAA
Callorhinchus milii (elephant shark) is the source of this 200-nucleotide long non-coding RNA. RefSeq lists it as uncharacterized. The record is from RefSeq and is a predicted model, not a curated record. The transcript is spliced from 3 exons. Lineage: Eukaryota; Metazoa; Chordata; Chondrichthyes; Chimaeriformes; Callorhinchidae.